RNAcentral lists this ribosomal RNA (447 nucleotides) under uncultured bacterium. RNAcentral's name for it is "bacterial SSU rRNA". It matches the Rfam family "Bacterial small subunit ribosomal RNA", at positions 330 to 794 of the family's 1533-position model. The record is from RNAcentral.
UCCAGACUCCUACGGGAGGCAGCAGUGGGGGAUAUUGCACAAUGGGGGAAACCCUGAUGCAGCGACGCCGCGUGAGUGAAGAAGUAAUUCGUUAUGUAAAGCUCUAUCAGCAGGGAAGAAAAUGACGGUACCUGAGUAAGAAGCCCCGGCUAACUACGUGCCAGCAGCCGCGGUAAUACGUAGGGGGCAAGCGUUAUCCGGAUUUACUGGGUGUAAAGGGAGCGUAGACGGCAAUGCAAGCCAGAUGUGAAAGCCCGGGGCGCAACCCCGGGACUGCAUUUGGAACUGUGUAGCUGGAGUGUCGGAGAGGCAGGCGGAAUUCCUAGUGUAGCGGUGAAAUGCGUAGAUAUUAGGAGGAACACCAGUGGCGAAGGCGGCCUGCUGGACGAUGACUGACGUUGAGGCUCGAAAGCGUGGGGAGCAAACAGGAUUAGAUACCCGGGUACA